AACGAACGCUGGCGGCAUGCCUAACACAUGCAAGUCGAACGAGACCUUCGGGUCUAGUGGCGCACGGGUGCGUAACGCGUGGGAACCUGCCCUUAGGUUCGGAAUAACUACCCGAAAGGGGUGCUAAUACCGGAUAAUGUCUUCGGACCAAAGAUUUAUCGCCUUUGGAUGGGCCCGCGUUGGAUUAGCUAGUUGGUAGGGUAAAAGCCUACCAAGGCGACGAUCCAUAGCUGGUCUGAGAGGAUGAUCAGCCACACUGGGACUGAGACACGGCCCAGACUCCUACGGGAGGCAGCAGUGGGGAAUAUUGGACAAUGGGCGAAAGCCUGAUCCAGCAAUGCCGCGUGAGUGAUGAAGGCCUUAGGGUUGUAAAGCUCUUUUACCCGGGAUGAUAAUGACAGUACCGGGAGAAUAAGCUCCGGCUAACUCCGUG
This 433-nucleotide ribosomal RNA is filed under the name uncultured bacterium. Its description in RNAcentral is "partial 16S ribosomal RNA". It matches the Rfam family "Bacterial small subunit ribosomal RNA", at positions 29 to 507 of the family's 1533-position model. The record is from RNAcentral.